UAGGGAAUCUUCGGCAAUGGACGAAAGUCUGACCGAGCAACGCCGCGUGAGUGAAGAAGGUUUUCGGAUCGUAAAACUCUGUUGUUAGAGAAGAACAAGGACGUUAGUAACUGAACGUCCCCUGACGGUAUCUAACCAGAAAGCCACGGCUAACUACGUGCCAGCAGCCGCGGUAAUACGUAGGUGGCAAGCGUUGUCCGGAUUUAUUGGGCGUAAAGCGAGCGCAGGCGGUUUCUUAAGUCUGAUGUGAAAGCCCCCGGCUCAACCGGGGAGGAUCAUUGGAAACUGGGAGACUUGAGUGCAGAAGAGGAGAGUGGAAUUCCAUGUGUAGCGGUGAAAUGCGUAGAUAUAUGGAGGAACACCAGUGGCGAAGGCGGCUCUCUGGUCUGUAACUGACGCUGAGGCUCGAAAGCGUGGGGAGCAAACAGG
Molecule: ribosomal RNA, 429 nt
Filed under: Gemmatimonadota bacterium
Lineage: Bacteria; Pseudomonadati; Gemmatimonadota
Description: Gemmatimonadetes bacterium partial 16S ribosomal RNA
Rfam family: Bacterial small subunit ribosomal RNA
Source: RNAcentral